GGCCUCCUGGUGCUUACCACAGGCUAUGUUCUUACACUGACUGACUGCAUAGAUAAGGAGGAAGUAAAGUAAACCUACCCCAUAUACACUUCAACACAGGCCCUGUGCCUGGUCUGUAUUGUGAACGGGAAGACAAGG
RNAcentral lists this small nucleolar RNA (138 nucleotides) under Castor canadensis (American beaver). RNAcentral's name for it is "Small nucleolar RNA SNORA51 (ENSCCNG00000001069.1)". It matches the Rfam family "Small nucleolar RNA SNORA51". Rfam says of the family: ACA51 is a member of the H/ACA class of snoRNA that guide the sites of modification of uridines to pseudouridines. Lineage: Eukaryota; Metazoa; Chordata; Mammalia; Rodentia; Castoridae. The record is from Rfam by way of RNAcentral.